Long non-coding RNA from Sesamum indicum (sesame), 1459 nucleotides. RefSeq annotates it as stress-induced protein KIN2. The record is from RefSeq and is a predicted model, not a curated record. Lineage: Eukaryota; Viridiplantae; Streptophyta; Magnoliopsida; Lamiales; Pedaliaceae.
AUCCUUUCUUGCUCACAAAAUCUUCAAACCAUCAGCCAAUUAAGAACCUUAAACUUUCCAAUAAUCACACUUAGUGUCUAAAACACUUCCCCUACCAAAGAUAAACCAAGAAUGGAUCAGGCCAAAGCCAAUUACAAUGCUGGUGAGGCCAAGGGCCAAAUUCAGGAGAAGGCUAGCCAGACAAUGGAUAGCAUCAAGGACACUGCUCAAUCCGCCAGUCAGUCCAUCCAGCAGGGUGGUCAGCAGAUGGCUGCUAAGGCACAGGGAGCUGCUGAUGCUAUCAAGGAUUCCACUGGAAUGAACAAGUGAAUCUAGUGCAGCAACAAUUAGAAUUUCUUGUUUCUUUCAUGAUCAUAGUUGUCUGUCUCAGGGCGGGCUAAUACGCUUCUACGUGUAAUAAUAGACAAUUUAGUCAUUUUUUAUAUGAUUAAUGAAUGAUUCCAACAAUUAUGGUACAUUUGAUUACCGCUUGAAAACCCACAGAGUCGUUGAUCUUUCAAUUGUGAUUAGGAAGAGAUGGUGGUUUUUCUUUUUGUAAUAAAAGAAAAGUGGGUGUUAAGUGCUAAUGAACACAUUGAUUAGCUGCAAAGAUGUAAGAAAUCAAAGCAAAAGUGGAGUAAAAGCAGGUGACUUUAAAGGACAUGCUUUUCUGAGUGCAGACAUGAAGAAAAGUGGAAAACAUAUCAUAAAAGUCGACCUGCCGAUCAACUUUCUCAUAGAAAAAAGGCUUUCUUGAUCAGAUUAAUACAAAGAAAAAUGUAGAAACCUGAUAAUUGUUGACAUGCUCAUCUAGAAUGUUUAUUCAUUUGAUGUCCGUUUUUCAAUGUGAGAGAAGUGUAGAAUACUAGAGAGAGUUAGAGAUGUAUGCAACAAGACCGCGUUCGCUCUACCGCAAGUUUCCUGGUGCAGUCUCUGCGCGGCCACAGCCGGAUUCUCAGUAUUCAGGGCAUCUGGUAAUUUCAGAUGAAGAAUCGGAGGUGAUGGAUUCCUUUUGCUGUGGGAUGUGGAAGAAUGACAGAAUCAAAAGGCUGCCAUUCCCUUCGGACAAGAUCUUGCAGGUGGUGCACCCAUCAUUGCACGAGGAGGCGGCUACUGUUACAAAGGUGUGGUUCGUGCCUGUUCUUGACCAGCCUCUUUCGUCCAAUCGCUACUAUAUUAUCAAAGCUAAGGGAAGACGAAAAGGUUCAGACAUUACUUUCAACAUUUUGAUCACUUCUACAGACAAGCAUACACAUGUUCCAGGGAGGGAGACUCGGGAAUGUGUUGCUUCAAAAGUACUCGUGUGGAUCCAAAAAUCAGGCCUUUCGACUACAGAGACAGAUACCAACAGUUUGAGAUUCGUCCAUAUCAUGGCGGUGGAUUCUUUGCCAAAUCAGUAGAAUGGGAUGGUUAUCCUCCAAGUUUCCUCAGACAAGGCGGAUGGCAAGUCUACGCCACUCCUUCGUUUAAACUCCAUCUA